UACGAAGGGUGCAAGCGUUGUUCGGAAUCACUGGGCGUAAAGAAUGCGUAGGCGGCUUAACAAGUCAGGAGUGAAAUCCCAGGGCUCAACCCUGGAACUGCUUUUGAAACUGUUUUGCUAGAGUCCCGGAGGGGUUAGCGGAAUUCCGAGUGUAGAGGUGAAAUUCGCAGAUAUUCGGAGGAACACCAGUGGCGAAGGCGGCUAACUGGACGGGAACUGACGCUGAGGCAUGAAAGUGUGGGGAUCAAACAGG
Molecule: ribosomal RNA, 253 nt
Filed under: uncultured bacterium
Lineage: Bacteria
Description: partial 16S ribosomal RNA
Rfam family: Bacterial small subunit ribosomal RNA
Source: RNAcentral